AGCGUAGGUGGCCUAACAUGUCAACUGUGAAACCCGGAGCUCAACUCCGGACUUGCAGUUGAAACUGGUAGGCUUGAGGACGGUAGAGGAAGACGGAACUGCCAGUGUAGGGGUAAAAUCCUUAGAUAUUGGCAGGAACGCCGGUGACGAAGGUGGUUUUCUGGGCCGGUUCUGACACUGAUGCUCGAAAGCCAGGGGAGCGAACGG
This 207-nucleotide ribosomal RNA is filed under the name uncultured Mesotoga sp. RNAcentral describes it as "partial 16S ribosomal RNA". It matches the Rfam family "Bacterial small subunit ribosomal RNA", at positions 568 to 775 of the family's 1533-position model. The record is from RNAcentral. Lineage: Bacteria; Thermotogati; Thermotogota; Thermotogae; Kosmotogales; Kosmotogaceae.